Rattus rattus (black rat) is the source of this 177-nucleotide long non-coding RNA. RefSeq lists it as uncharacterized. The transcript is spliced from 3 exons. The record is from RefSeq and is a predicted model, not a curated record. Lineage: Eukaryota; Metazoa; Chordata; Mammalia; Rodentia; Muridae.
CUUUGCCACUUGAUGAGGAAAAAGCACCGGUGAAGCCAGUAGAGGUGUCAUCUAAAAAACGCAGAUGUGUUUCUGCUAUCUUGAAGAAAAUUUCUCGAAAGAGGGCUGUCGUCCCCACAGACAUCAAAAGGCCUCAAGUCCUUCCUGGCACUUCAAGAGAAACGUCUCACAUUCUAA